UACAGAGGUGGCAAGCGUUGUUCGGAAUUACUGGGCGUAAAGGGCGCGUAGGCGGUUCGAUAAGUCUUGCGUGAAAUCCCCCGGCUCAACUGGGGAACUGCGCGGGAAACUGUCGGGCUUGAGUUCGGGAGAGGGAAGCGGAAUUCCGGGUGUAGCGGUGAAAUGCGUAGAUAUCCGGAGGAACACCGGUGGCGAAGGCGGCUUCCUGGACCGACACUGACGCUGAGGCGCGAAAGCCAGGGGAGCAAACGGG
Molecule: ribosomal RNA, 253 nt
Filed under: uncultured bacterium
Lineage: Bacteria
Description: partial 16S ribosomal RNA
Rfam family: Bacterial small subunit ribosomal RNA
Source: RNAcentral